GACAACUUGAGUGGCCGGAGAUGACUUAGGCCUAAAUUUUAAACACAUUCCAUGUUGUACACAUCUGUCCUAAUUAAGCAAUAAAUGCACUCCUUUAAACUACCUAGGUUUAACUGGAUUAAUCUCGCCGUGCUUUUCUCCUGCUCCGGUGUCAUUUUGUGCUUGACUCUCACAUGAUAGUGGUAUGCUAACAGCAAUAGUCUCGAAAAUAUUGGCUGAAAAACUACUAUCCAUGACGGCCGAAAAAGUAUAUCAAAUUGUCGUUUUCAAGGUCCGUUUUUUUUCUGGGGAAGCACGGUUUUCGUGCGUGCUCGUUUCAACGGGAAUAAGUUGUGUCGCUGCCACUGAAGGAAGAAGUUACAAACAUGGCGAUACCACUAAGGGCAAUGGGAGAGUUAUUGAAGUAUUGAUUUACGAACAGGAAGCUCCUAGAAAAUGCUCCUAGAUAUGAUUAAAAGAUGGAGCCAAAACCCCACUUGGAGGAGACAUUAACCCCAAAAAGGGAAGUAUUAACUUUAGGAGGAGAAAUUUUUCUGUCAUUUAAAUCUAAUUUCAAUUUAACUGCUUUUGUGUCUUAGCCCAACUUUGAUGGUAAGCAGAAGCUACUAUA
Non-coding RNA from Solanum lycopersicum (tomato), 610 nucleotides. NCBI's taxonomy places the organism in Eukaryota, Viridiplantae, Streptophyta, Magnoliopsida, Solanales, Solanaceae. The record is from RefSeq and is a predicted model, not a curated record.